RNAcentral lists this unclassified non-coding RNA (240 nucleotides) under soil metagenome. RNAcentral's name for it is "partial contains 5.8S ribosomal RNA, internal transcribed spacer 2, and large subunit ribosomal RNA". The record is from RNAcentral.
AACGCACGAGACCUGCGGACCUGCGGAGGGAUCAUUAAUGUUACCUCAUCCAAAAACUUGCUGUCAGAUGGGGGGGGAAGAGUUUUCUCAACUUUCCCUCUGACAACAAAAGCACCUGUGAACAAGGUUAAAGUCCUUAACAGCAUCCUUAACCGCGAUGCUGUUAAAGCACCCUUUUCAUAUUAUACCUGUCUAACAUUAAAUGAGUUAAGAGAGAGAGAAGAGAGAGAUCUUUUUUUC